Molecule: ribosomal RNA, 497 nt
Filed under: uncultured bacterium
Lineage: Bacteria
Description: partial 16S ribosomal RNA
Rfam family: Bacterial small subunit ribosomal RNA
Source: RNAcentral
GAUGAACGCUGGCGGCGUGCCUAAUACAUGCAAGUCGAGCGAACGGACGAGAAGCUUGCUUCUCUGAUGUUAGCGGCGGACGGGUGAGUAACACGUGGAUAACCUACCUAUAAGACUGGGAUAACUUCGGGAAACCGGAGCUAAUACCGGAUGAUAUUUUGAACCGCAUGGUUCAAAAGUGAAAGACGGUCUUGCUGUCACUUAUAGAUGGAUCCGCGCCGCAUUAGCUAGUUGGUAAGGUAACGGCUUACCAAGGCAACGAUGCAUAGCCGACCUGAGAGGGGGAUCGGCCACACUGGAACUGAGACACGGUCCAGACUCCUACGGGAGGCAGCAGUAGGGAAUCUUCCGCAAUGGGCGAAAGCCUGACGGAGCAACGCCGCGUGAGUGAUGAAGGUCUUCGGAUCGUAAAACUCUGUUAUUAGGGAAGAACAUAUGUGUAAGUAACUGUGCACAUCUUGACGGUACCUAAUCAGAAAGCCACGGCUAACUACGUG